UGUUUUUCAAAAACCGCGCGCAUUUUUCAGUCAGUCACGUCACGUGCACUCCGCUCAUCCACACUGGACCGCGCUCACUCACUCGCUGAUGGGAUCACAGCAGGAUUAACGUUAUUCGCGAGACACGACGCGGUCAUGGUAAAAAAUACAGUGCAAAGGCAGAGAGUGAAGGUGUGGUGGUAUUGGCAGCAAGAAGGCUGCAUAAUAUGGGUCUGAAAUGAAGUACCGGAACAUUAUCAGUCAUUCAAGCUAUGAUAUCCUGGCAGAUCUACUUCCUGAAAAGAAGACUCAGCAGAUCUUUUCAAGACACUCUAGAUGGAGCGCGGAGAGACCGGACAGUUCCCACAGUGCUAGUUUUUCAGCACCCACACCCCAAACACAAAUUCAUAUAGAAGUUUUCAAUAAUAAAAUGUUCAUAUGAUAGUUUAUAUUUAGCUAUGAAGCAAUAGUUUAUUGUCAUAAAUAUUAAACUAAAUAUUAAAGUCCUUCUGUAGUGAAAAUCAAGUUUUUAUGCUGUUUUUUUUUUCUUUGUGGCAUUAAAUAUUGCUACAUCACAAUCCAAUAACCAAUCACAUCUAAG
Molecule: long non-coding RNA, 580 nt
Organism: Carassius gibelio (silver crucian carp)
Lineage: Eukaryota; Metazoa; Chordata; Actinopteri; Cypriniformes; Cyprinidae
Exons: 4
Source: RefSeq, a predicted model, not a curated record